This 465-nucleotide ribosomal RNA is filed under the name uncultured bacterium. RNAcentral describes it as "partial 16S ribosomal RNA". It matches the Rfam family "Bacterial small subunit ribosomal RNA", at positions 28 to 507 of the family's 1533-position model. The record is from RNAcentral.
GAUGAACGCUGGCGGCGUGCUUAACACAUGCAAGUCGAACGGAAAGGCUCCUGCUUGCAGGGGUACUCGAGUGGCGAACGGGUGAGUAACACGUGGGUGAUCUGCCCUGCACUUCGGGAUAAGCCUGGGAAACUGGGUCUAAUACCGGCUAGGACGAUGGUUUGGAUGCCAUUGUGGAAAGUUUUUCGGUGUGGGAUGAGCUCGCGGCCUAUCAGCUUGUUGGUGGGGUAAUGGCCUACCAAGGCGUCGACGGGUAGCCGGCCUGAGAGGGUGGACGGCCACAUUGGGACUGAGAUACGGCCCAGACUCCUACGGGAGGCAGCAGUGGGGAAUAUUGCACAAUGGGCGCAAGCCUGAUGCAGCGACGCCGCGUGGGGGAUGACGGCCUUCGGGUUGUAAACUCCUUUCGCUAGGGACGAAGCGCAAGUGACGGUACCUGGAGAAGAAGCACCGGCUAACUACGUG